Eufriesea mexicana is the source of this 1228-nucleotide long non-coding RNA. RefSeq lists it as uncharacterized. The transcript has 5 exons. NCBI's taxonomy places the organism in Eukaryota, Metazoa, Arthropoda, Insecta, Hymenoptera, Apidae. The record is from RefSeq and is a predicted model, not a curated record.
AUAAAUGUGUCUGAUGUUUUUCCCACGAGAAACGAUCUUCUGUCUGUAUAUCAGAAACAGUUAAUUUCUUGAAGCUUCUACAUAAUUCAUGUCGAAAUUGAGUAAUUGGUGCAACACGAGCAACAUAAUUCGUUAAAUAAUUACAUUGUUAUAGCAGACAAGAGGCAGGAGCGAAACAGCUUGCCAGACAAUUAUAUGUAAGUAGUACGGUAUGCAGAAGAAAACAACUAAACGGAGGUUGUAGAAAAGAUAGUACACCUCUUCGCUACACGCCAUUGACUAUUAAUAGCUGACGAAGUCCGAGAGAGAACCACAGUAUCCGAGGCCAGAUUCAACCGAAGGAAUUCUUUAGCUGUUCGACCCUUUCGACCGUCAUUCUUCGAUGAUUCAAUGUCGAGGGUACACUACGAAAUGGUACCAUUUCUUGACCUUUCUAUGUGCCAAUUUCCUUCAACUGUAAAGAAACAGAAAACAAAGGGUAUUUUUCUUUUUAGUAUUAUUACCGAUGGAUUAAAAAGUUGUAGUGUCUUUACAAGGUGAAAAUGGAAAGUGACGAUAAAAAGUGAAUUAACUUUAAGGACGACCGUAUCGACAACGUCAAUUCACGACGUAACCUAAACAAAAAGAUAAAUUUCGAAAUCUUCUUAACCAUAUUUACACUUUUUAAAAAGUUUUUAUAAAGUCGUAAAUCUAAUGAAGAGAUUGAAGGAGCCAGACACAGAUCUCGAUUUGAAACAUUUAAACAACGAUAUAUCAAUUUUUAGGAAAAUCUUAUGACGAGAAGGAGCGACUGUUCCAUUAUGUUAAUAAAUCUUCGUUACUCGAAAAAGAAACAAAAAGAAAGCUGUUCUUCGUUCCGAACGCUCGUUAAAUUACGAGCAAUUUAUUAGAGUGGAAAGUAGGUGUUGAUAACACGGCUGGGAUGGUAAAAGAACGAUUGAAUGAGGAGGUUGACUGGUGUCGUCGUACGACGACUUCGCAUCGCUACUACUGACUUGAGUGCAAAUGGGGCCUGAGGUUAACGCGCCGUGAUGUCACUGUCUGAUAUCGUAGUGCCCAUCUUUUACUUUGGCAACAGGACAAAAAGAAUUCAGCAAAACUGUUGAGUGUCCGUUCGGAUUGUUUCUUCAAUUUCAGCAAUUUAGUGAAUACAAUCAUAUAAAACCUUAAACUUUUUACAUUAUUUUUUUAAUGAAACGACGCAAUAAUUGUAGUAGUAUUGUUUCAC